RNAcentral lists this transfer RNA (61 nucleotides) under Bostrichoidea sp. 1 KM-2017. Its description in RNAcentral is "tRNA-Phe". Lineage: Eukaryota; Metazoa; Arthropoda; Insecta; Coleoptera. The record is from RNAcentral.
ACUUGGGUAGCUUAAUUAGAGCGUAACUUUGAAGUUGUUAAGGUAAUUUUAUUUCUAAGUA